Molecule: ribosomal RNA, 252 nt
Filed under: uncultured bacterium
Lineage: Bacteria
Description: partial 16S ribosomal RNA
Rfam family: Bacterial small subunit ribosomal RNA
Source: RNAcentral
UACGUAGGGUGCGAGCGUUAAUCGGAAUUACUGGGCGUAAAGCGUGCGCAGGCGGUGAUGUAAGACCGAUGUGAAAUCCCCGGGCUAACCUGGGAACUGCAUUGGUGACUGCAUCGCUCGAGUAUGGCAGAGGGGGGUAGAAUUCCACGUGUAGCAGUGAAAUGCGUAGAGAUGUGGAGGAAUACCGAUGGCGAAGGCAGCCCCCUGGGUCAAUACUGACGCUCAUGCACGAAAGCGUGGGGAGCAAACAGG